AGAGUUUGAUCCUGGCUCAGAUUGAACGCUGGCGGCAUGCCUUACACAUGCAAGUCGAACGGUAACGGGCCUUCGGGUGCCGACGAGUGGCGAACGGGUGAGUAAUGUAUCGGAACGUACCAUUCAGUGGGGGAUAACGUAGCGAAAGUUACGCUAAUACCGCAUAUUCUGUGCGCAGGAAAGCAGGGGAUCGCAAGACCUUGCGCUGAUUGAGCGGCCGAUAUCAGAUUAGCUAGUUGGUGAGAUAAAAGUUCACCAAGGCGACGAUCUGUAGCGGGUCUGAGAGGAUGAUCCGCCACACUGGAACUGAGACACGGUCCAGACUCCUACGGGAGGCAGCAGUGGGGAAUUUUGGACAAUGGGCGCAAGCCUGAUCCAGCCAUGCCGCGUGAGUGAAGAAGGCCUUCGGGUUGUAAAGCUCUUUCAGCCGGGAAGAAAACGCAUGGGUUAAUACCCUGUGUGGAUGACGGUACCGGAAUAAGAAGCACCGGCUAACUACGUGCCAGCAGCCGCGGUAAUACGUAGGGUGCGAGCGUUAAUCGGAAUUACUGGGCGUAAAGCGUGCGCAGGCGGUUUGGUAAGACAGGCGUGAAAUCCCCGGGCUUAACCUGGGAACUGCGUUUGUGACUGCCAGGCUAGAGUACGGCAGAGGGGGGUGGAAUUCCACGUGUAGCAGUGAAAUGCGUAGAGAUGUGGAGGAACACCAAUGGCGAAGGCAGCC
This 721-nucleotide ribosomal RNA is filed under the name bacterium enrichment culture clone 124. RNAcentral describes it as "bacterial SSU rRNA". It matches the Rfam family "Bacterial small subunit ribosomal RNA", at positions 8 to 726 of the family's 1533-position model. The record is from RNAcentral.